CCUACGGGAGACAGCAGUGGGGAAUAUUGCACAAUGGGGGAAACCCUGAUGCAGCGACGCCGCGUGAGUGAAGAAGUAAUUCGUUAUGUAAAGCUCUAUCAGCAGGGAAGAAAAUGACGGUACCUGAGUAAGAAGCCCCGGCUAACUACGUGCCAGCAGCCGCGGUAAUACGUAGGGGGCAAGCGUUAUCCGGAUUUCCUGGGGGGAAAGGGAGCGUAGACGGCAGUGCAAGUCUGGAGUGAAAGGCGGGGGCUCAACCCCCGGACUGCUCUGGAAACUGUACGGCUGGAGUGCAGGAGAGGUAAGUGGAAUUCCUAGUGUAGCGGUAAAAUGCGUAGAUAUUAGGAGGAACACCAGUGGUGAAGGCGGCUUACUGGACUGUAACUGACGUUGAGGCUCGAAAGCGUGGGGAGCAAACAGGAUUAGAUACCCCAGUAGUC
RNAcentral lists this ribosomal RNA (440 nucleotides) under uncultured bacterium. Its description in RNAcentral is "partial 16S ribosomal RNA". It matches the Rfam family "Bacterial small subunit ribosomal RNA", at positions 338 to 795 of the family's 1533-position model. The record is from RNAcentral.